Long non-coding RNA from Mya arenaria, 839 nucleotides. RefSeq lists it as uncharacterized. The transcript has 6 exons. NCBI's taxonomy places the organism in Eukaryota, Metazoa, Mollusca, Bivalvia, Myida, Myidae. The record is from RefSeq and is a predicted model, not a curated record.
ACUGCUCAAUAUAUGUUUUUAUGAUGGUAUCCGUCGUUAUCUUAGAUACCUGUGUUUUGGAUGAGGGAUAUGAAAAUGGGACCGAAAAAUACACUUUUUACUUGCCGGUAGUUAGUUUUGGUCAGUUUUACUUUAGGUUCCUAAUUGUACAUGAGCACUUGUAAGCGUCUGAUUGAAGAUGAAUGAAAUACCAAAAAGUGAAACUACGCCUGACAAUUAUUGAACAGUUGUUUUUGUAGAUAAGUAUUAGUGACCGAGUUGGAGAUACAGUUGCAGGUUGCGAUAGUGAAGUACAUAAUUCUGUUUGUUUUCUAAAGUGGUGCGGACUUGGAGAGAGCGGUGUUCUUGCAGUAGAAGAUGGUGUAGAUAGCUGACUGUAGCUGUGCUCGUUCUGAAGUUGUGAAGUGGUGAGAAGUCCUGUUGUAUGAUCUACAUUGCUUGUUGAAGAGGAGCUUUGGGUGUCGCUGCUUGGAGGUCGAAAGACAAUCAACGUCUGAGAGGGAAAUAUGUUGGUGCGCAAUUUAUACAACUUGUUUGAAUGUUGGCUUACAUCAACAACAGCAAGACUUUGCGAUCGACACUCUACUCUGUCAAAUGGAUAUUUAGCUGUGCUGUUUUUCAACAACUCUGCAUGGGCUACAAUAAGAGCUGGAUUGACUCUUACCUUCUUUGCUAAUCAUCCGGGGAUAUCGCCAUAUUGAAAACCCGUCAGAGGUUCGGUCCACGUCCAUGGUGCUCGGGAUGAGUCAUUGGAGGACGAAGAUCGGGUGUCCUUAUGCUGCCAUGAAAUGUCGUUUUUAUGAUGUCCAAUUAUGUUCAAAAAUAAACAACUUGGAGAA